GAUGAACGCUAGCUACAGGCUUAACACAUGCAAGUCGAGGGGCAGCGCAGUGUAGCAAUACAUGGGCGGCGACCGGCGCACGGGUGCGUAACGCGUAUCCAACCUUCCCGUUACUCAGGGAUAGCCUUCCGAAAGGGAGAUUAAUACCUGAUGGUGUUGAAAUUCCGCAUGUUAUUUCAACUAAAGAUUUAUCGGUAACGGAUGGGAAUGCGUGACAUUAGGUAGAUGGUAGGGUAACGGCCUACCAAGGCAACGAUGGGUAGGGGAGCUGAGAGGUUUAUCCCCCACAUUGGUACUGAGAUACGGACCAA
This 311-nucleotide ribosomal RNA is filed under the name uncultured bacterium. RNAcentral's name for it is "bacterial SSU rRNA". It matches the Rfam family "Bacterial small subunit ribosomal RNA", at positions 28 to 334 of the family's 1533-position model. The record is from RNAcentral.